RNAcentral lists this ribosomal RNA (429 nucleotides) under Chloroflexota bacterium. Its description in RNAcentral is "Chloroflexi bacterium partial 16S ribosomal RNA". It matches the Rfam family "Bacterial small subunit ribosomal RNA", at positions 355 to 776 of the family's 1533-position model. The record is from RNAcentral. Lineage: Bacteria; Bacillati; Chloroflexota.
UGGGGAAUAUUGCACAAUGGGCGCAAGCCUGAUGCAGCCAUGCCGCGUGUAUGAAGAAGGCCUUCGGGUUGUAAAGUACUUUCAGUCGGGAGGAAGGUGUCAAGGUUAAUAACCUUGGCAAUUGACGUUACCGACAGAAGAAGCACCGGCUAACUCCGUGCCAGCAGCCGCGGUAAUACGGAGGGUGCAAGCGUUAAUCGGAAUUACUGGGCGUAAAGCGCACGCAGGCGGUUUGUUAAGUCAGAUGUGAAAUCCCCGGGCUCAACCUGGGAACUGCAUUCGAAACUGGCAGGCUAGAGUCUUGUAGAGGGGGGUAGAAUUCCAGGUGUAGCGGUGAAAUGCGUAGAGAUCUGGAGGAAUACCGGUGGCGAAGGCGGCCCCCUGGACAAAGACUGACGCUCAGGUGCGAAAGCGUGGGGAGCAAACAGG